RNAcentral lists this ribosomal RNA (351 nucleotides) under uncultured bacterium. RNAcentral's name for it is "bacterial SSU rRNA". It matches the Rfam family "Bacterial small subunit ribosomal RNA", at positions 527 to 881 of the family's 1533-position model. The record is from RNAcentral.
GUAGGGGGCAAGCGUUAUCCGGAUUUACUGGGUGUAAAGGGAGCGUAGACGGCGAUGCAAGUCUGAAGUGAAAUACCCGGGCUCAACCUGGGAACUGCUUUGGAAACUGUAUGGCUAGAGUGCUGGAGAGGUAAGCGGAAUUCCUAGUGUAGCGGUGAAAUGCGUAGAUAUUAGGAGGAACACCAGUGGCGAAGGCGGCUUACUGGACUGUAACUGACAUUGAGGCUCGAAAGCGUGGGGAGCAAACAGGAUUAGAUACCCUAGUAGUCCACGCCGUAAACGAUGAGAACUAGGUGUUGGGGGAAUAACUCAGUGCCGCAGUUAGCGCAAUAAGUUCUCCGCCUGGGGAGU